Molecule: ribosomal RNA, 253 nt
Filed under: uncultured bacterium
Lineage: Bacteria
Description: partial 16S ribosomal RNA
Rfam family: Bacterial small subunit ribosomal RNA
Source: RNAcentral
UACGUAGGGGGCAAGCGUUAUCCGGAUUUACUGGGUGUAAAGGGAGCGUAGACGGAUAAGCAAGUCUGAUGUGAAAAUCCGGGGCCCAACCCCGGAAUUGCAUUGGAAACUGCAUAUCUAGAGUGUCGGAGAGGCAAGUGGAAUUCCUGGUGUAGCGGUGAAAUGCGUAGAUAUCAGGAGGGACACCAGUGGCGAAGGCGGCUUGCUGGACGAUGACUGACGUUGAGGCUCGAAAGCGUGGGGAGCAAACAGG